AUGCACGCUGGCGGCGUGCCUCAUACAUGCAAGUCGAGCGAACAGACGAGGAGCUUGCUCCUCUGACGUUAGCGGCGGACGGGUGAGUAACACGUGGAUAACCUACCUAUAAGACUGGGAUAACUUCGGGAAACCGGAGCUAAUACCGGAUAAUAUAUUGAACCGCAUGGUUCAAUAGUGAAAGACGGUUUUGCUGUCACUUAUAGAUGGAUCCCCGCCGCAUUAGCUAGUUGGUAAGGUAACGGCUUACCAAGGCGACGAUGCGUAGCCGACCUGAGAGGGUGAUCGGCCACACUGGGACUGAAACGCGGUCCAGACUCCUACGGGAGGCAGCAGUAGGGAAUCUUCCGCAAUGGGAGAAAGCCUGACGGAGCAACGCCGCGUGAGUGAUGAAGGUCUUCGGAUCGUAAAACUCUGUUAUUAGGAAAGAGCAAAUGUGUAAGUAACUAUGCUCGUCUUGACGGUACCUAAUCAGAAGGCCACGGCUAACUACGUG
RNAcentral lists this ribosomal RNA (496 nucleotides) under uncultured bacterium. RNAcentral describes it as "partial 16S ribosomal RNA". It matches the Rfam family "Bacterial small subunit ribosomal RNA", at positions 29 to 507 of the family's 1533-position model. The record is from RNAcentral.